Molecule: ribosomal RNA, 832 nt
Filed under: Bacillus tequilensis
Lineage: Bacteria; Bacillati; Bacillota; Bacilli; Caryophanales; Bacillaceae
Description: bacterial SSU rRNA
Rfam family: Bacterial small subunit ribosomal RNA
Source: RNAcentral
GUCGAGCGGACAGAUGGGAGCUUGCUCCCUGAUGUUAGCGGCGGACGGGUGAGUAACACGUGGGUAACCUGCCUGUAAGACUGGGAUAACUCCGGGAAACCGGGGCUAAUACCGGAUGGUUGUUUGAACCGCAUGGUUCAAACAUAAAAGGUGGCUUCGGCUACCACUUACAGAUGGACCCGCGGCGCAUUAGCUAGUUGGUGAGGUAACGGCUCACCAAGGCAACGAUGCGUAGCCGACCUGAGAGGGUGAUCGGCCACACUGGGACUGAGACACGGCCCAGACUCCUACGGGAGGCAGCAGUAGGGAAUCUUCCGCAAUGGACGAAAGUCUGACGGAGCAACGCCGCGUGAGUGAUGAAGGUUUUCGGAUCGUAAAGCUCUGUUGUUAGGGAAGAACAAGUACCGUUCGAAUAGGGCGGUACCUUGACGGUACCUAACCAGAAAGCCACGGCUAACUACGUGCCAGCAGCCGCGGUAAUACGUAGGUGGCAAGCGUUGUCCGGAAUUAUUGGGCGUAAAGGGCUCGCAGGCGGUUUCUUAAGUCUGAUGUGAAAGCCCCCGGCUCAACCGGGGAGGGUCAUUGGAAACUGGGGAACUUGAGUGCAGAAGAGGAGAGUGGAAUUCCACGUGUAGCGGUGAAAUGCGUAGAGAUGUGGAGGAACACCAGUGGCGAAGGCGACUCUCUGGUCUGUAACUGACGCUGAGGAGCGAAAGCGUGGGGAGCGAACAGGAUUAGAUACCCUGGUAGUCCACGCCGUAAACGAUGAGUGCUAAGUGUUAGGGGGUUUCCGCCCCUUAGUGCUGCAGCUAACGCAUUAAGCACUCCGCCU